UACAGAGGUCCCAAGCGUUGUUCGGAUUCACUGGGCGUAAAGGGUGCGUAGGCGGUCGGGUAAGUCUGACGUGAAAUCUCCGGGCCUAACCCGGAAACUGCGUCGGAUACUAUCCGGCUAGAGGAUUGGAAGGGAGACUGGAAUACUUGGUGUAGCAGUGAAAUGCGUAGAUAUCAAGUGGAACACCAGUGGCGAAGGCGAGUCUCUGGACAAUUCCUGACGCUGAGGCACGAAAGCCAGGGGAGCAAACGGG
Molecule: ribosomal RNA, 253 nt
Filed under: uncultured bacterium
Lineage: Bacteria
Description: partial 16S ribosomal RNA
Rfam family: Bacterial small subunit ribosomal RNA
Source: RNAcentral